Molecule: long non-coding RNA, 638 nt
Filed under: Brassica napus (rape)
Lineage: Eukaryota; Viridiplantae; Streptophyta; Magnoliopsida; Brassicales; Brassicaceae
Description: long non-coding RNA (BNAP_LNC014589)
Source: RNAcentral
UUGUACAUUGAUAUACAUUAUUUAUUUAAUUUUCAUACUCUUCAACACCAACAUAUUAUAGCAUCUUGUAUGUGCUAUAAUUCCAUAUUUUCUCCUAUGACGAACAAAGACGUCUCGACUGCCACUAGACAAUGACAAAACCCGUAGAAAUUCAGUAUUAUGAUAUAGCUUUGAUUCCUAUAUAAAAUAUCGAUUUAUUCAUAAAAUAUUCAGUAAUAUGUGCACAUAUAUGCAUGAUGCAAUGUGUUUGCGAUGCAGGAAAAAGUGCCAAUUUCGACCUCAACAAUUUGGGUCGUGGCAAAUACGAUUCGAACAAUUGAUUAGUGUCAAAUACGACUUCAACUUAAUUAUAAUUCGAAAAAAAUUCCCAAACUUCUUAAAACGUGCUUAAAUCUACAUUGACUCUAACAUAAGUUAGUCAAUCGUUAAUAAGAUAAAACGAUGUCGUUUUGAUAUACGAGAAAAAAUGCCAAUUUCGACCCCAACACUCUCAGUCGUGCCAAAUAGGACCCGAACAAAUGGUCAGUGCCAAAACCGACAUCAACUUAAUUAUAAUUUAAGAAAAAAACUUCUUAAAACGUGCAUAAAUCUACAUUGACUCUAACAGAAGUUAGUCAACCGUUAACAAGAUAAGACGA